CAUAAGAUGCAGUCUUGCUUAUGUGAGUUCUGUUUGAAGAUUUUUCUUUAUAUAGAGGGCAUUAAUAAAUUUCUGAUCAAAAAAGGACACAGAGAGCUGACAUUAAUAAAUCCAGCUUCAUCACUUGACUUAACUCUAUGCCCAAGAACUAAUGCCAAUUGUUUUCAUAAGCUGCAGUGCAUUGAAAGAUCAUGUAGCAACUGUGGUGUGGAUUUAAUUAACAAGUAUUGAGCCUUUAAAAAAUUGCACGGAUGAAUUAGCAGAGUGGAGUAUAGUAUGUGGUCAAAGAUGACGGCUGAGUAUGUUCAGAGUGAUGGUACACUGCAAAAGGUAUCAAAGUGGCGACCAGUAAAUAAAGAAGGAUCUUUCAAUGACCUAGUGAGAGGUAUUACACCUAACACUAUUGCUUACAGAAAUAGAAGCUGUUUCUGCUAUCCAUGCAGAAAUUCAUAUGGCAGUCAGUGCCUGCAUGAUGAAAUAUGUGGCUCUUGGAAGGUGUUCAAACUUCAGAAACAAAAUGUAGUGCAAUCUUAGUCAAAUCUUGAAGACUCUUUGGAUGUCAGUCCCAUAUGCUCAAAUUCAAAGGCCCAAACAAUUUCCUUCACUCAUCAAAAGUACAUUGUAAAUAGCUGUUUGAUUGUCAAGUAUGGGGAAAUAUUCUAUCCAGGAGUUGUGAUAGAAGUCCUGGAUGAUCAGCGCAGAAAUAAUUUUUUAAAAAGGCACAGAAAUAAAAGAAAUAUAUUUGUAUAUCCAGAAGUGCAGGGCAUACAGUUAGUGUAUGCAGACAUGAUUGUUACUGAAGUGAUGUUGAUACUAAUGGCAAUAGUUUGAGAGUGGAAUGUUUUGAUUUCUGAAUUUGUCAAAUAAAAUUUGUGUACAGUU
Biomphalaria glabrata is the source of this 882-nucleotide long non-coding RNA. RefSeq lists it as uncharacterized. Lineage: Eukaryota; Metazoa; Mollusca; Gastropoda; Planorbidae. The record is from RefSeq and is a predicted model, not a curated record. The transcript has 4 exons.